Long non-coding RNA from Lutra lutra (Eurasian river otter), 567 nucleotides. RefSeq lists it as uncharacterized. NCBI's taxonomy places the organism in Eukaryota, Metazoa, Chordata, Mammalia, Carnivora, Mustelidae. The record is from RefSeq and is a predicted model, not a curated record. The transcript is spliced from 3 exons.
CCCCCCUGUCCUUCCCACCCCGAAACCGUGCGGCGGGCGGGCGUAGGGUCUGAACCUCUGGCCUGCGGGGAACCUGUCUGGCGGGCUGUUCAUGCCUCUAUACCUUUCUUCAAAAUAAUGCCUUUCGAGACUGGAAGGAAGGCAGAGGAGUGGGAGAGCAGAAAAUGGGAAGGCUUCGUGUGUGCCGUGAUUGGAGGCUGAUGGCACGGGACCUGUCACUGUGAAUUCUUUCCUGUUGAGAAUUCUUCUGUUGGGAGUCUCCAACUGACAAUUCUUCCUGUAAUUGAUGCUGGUGGUAUGGCUCCCCCUUCUGGCCUCUAUUUUAGUGAGGUUUCCCUUUAUCAUUUUUCACACCAACUGCAUUUAGGUAUCCUGUGAGAUUGAUUGGGGCACACCGCACAUCUGGCUCUCUCCGGUGGAUCCCAGGUGGGAAGCAGGAAUGAGAACUACGGAAAUUGUCAACUACCAAGUCCUGGCAUCAUGGAUGGGUUUCUUAAUAUGCUCACAUUGUUAUCACGAAAUGCCGCAGCCUGGGGGGCUUAAACAAUAAAAGCAACUUAUUUCUCA